RNAcentral lists this long non-coding RNA (833 nucleotides) under Mus musculus (house mouse). Its description in RNAcentral is "long non-coding RNA chr11:60985164-60985997". Lineage: Eukaryota; Metazoa; Chordata; Mammalia; Rodentia; Muridae. The record is from RNAcentral.
GAGCCUCUCCUGGGCUUUCUUCAGGGACGCUGACUGUCAUAUUGUAGCAAGCUUAACCUCUCACCAUGACCCCUUCAGUCCUGAAACUUCUGACUGGGCUGCACUUCCUCCGAUGGCGAUGGUGGCUCCUGGUUUCUCCUGGCCCCAAGGCUCAGCUGCUCCCCAUGACCUCUUCAUGCCUCCAAACCCAGGACUGCCUGGGAGGCUGUGACACAUGAUCAAGUUUGGCUGCUAGCAUGGGGUAUAUAUAGCCCUGGCCCUCUCUGGACCAUAGCUUCUGUGUGCUGAUCCUGAGGAAAUAGUUCCCAGAAAAAUCUUGCCUCGAUGCUACCUCUUGCUAAUCACAGAUCACAGCUCUAGCUGAACAGAAUCCAUUGUCCCCGAAAAAAACAAAGGUUUUGCCUUGACGGUUCUUAGUUCCAAAUAUCGUGUAAGCGGCCCUGAAACAAUCUUUGCUUCCCUCUGAAACAUCACAAGGUAGGCCUCCUCUGUCUGCACUGCUGUCAGUCUCAUCUUCUAAGUUCCCACAACAUCUCUUUAGUUAAGUUUCUGUUGACGUGUUAAAACACCAUGACCAAAAGCAACUUGGGAAGGAACAGGUUUCUCUCAUCUUAGAACUCCUGGGUCACACCCUUAUCACUGAGGGAAAUCAGGUCAGGAACUCAAGGCAGGAACCUGGAGACAGGAACGGAAGCAAAGCCCAUUGAGGGAUGUUUCUUACUGGAUUGCUCUUCAUGGCUUACUCAAGCUUUUUCUUAUGUAACUCAUGACCACCCGUUCAAGGUUGGCACAACCCACAGUAGUCUGGGCCCUACCACAUAAAUCAUUAGUUU